Molecule: long non-coding RNA, 203 nt
Filed under: Bos taurus (domestic cattle)
Lineage: Eukaryota; Metazoa; Chordata; Mammalia; Artiodactyla; Bovidae
Description: long non-coding RNA NONBTAT006228
Source: RNAcentral
CUAAACUAAAAUAAUUGGAGGGUUUUUCCUGGACUUUUAAUUUCAUAAUACAAAGUUCAGAGAAAUGGAAGCAUACACCUUUCUACACUGUAGUUGAUCAGUAAUUAGACUGAUGAAGACUGUAAUGUCUUUGUAGAGUGGUUUGGCAGUGACUGUGGAUAUUAAACAGGCGCUCCUGUGAGUUUUAGUACAUUUCUUAACUU